RNAcentral lists this ribosomal RNA (511 nucleotides) under Purpureocillium lilacinum. RNAcentral describes it as "SSU rRNA". It matches the Rfam family "Eukaryotic small subunit ribosomal RNA", at positions 223 to 730 of the family's 1831-position model. The record is from RNAcentral. Lineage: Eukaryota; Fungi; Ascomycota; Sordariomycetes; Hypocreales; Ophiocordycipitaceae.
CAAGUUUUACCUUCCGGGGCUCUCUGGUGAUUCAUGAUAACUUCUCGAAUCGCAUGGCCUUGCGCCGGCGAUGGUUCAUUCAAAUUUCUUCCCUAUCAACUUUCGAUGUUUGGGUAGUGGCCAAACAUGGUUGCAACGGGUAACGGAGGGUUAGGGCUCGACCCCGGAGAAGGAGCCUGAGAAACGGCUACUACAUCCAAGGAAGGCAGCAGGCGCGCAAAUUACCCAAUCCCGACACGGGGAGGUAGUGACAAUAAAUACUGAUACAGGGCUCUUUUGGGUCUUGUAAUUGGAAUGAGUACAAUUUAAAUCCCUUAACGAGGAACAAUUGGAGGGCAAGUCUGGUGCCAGCAGCCGCGGUAAUUCCAGCUCCAAUAGCGUAUAUUAAAGUUGUUGUGGUUAAAAAGCUCGUAGUUGAACCUUGGGCCUGGCUGGCCGGUCCGCCUCACCGCGUGCACUGGUCCGGCCGGGCCUUCCCUCUGUGGAACCCACCAAGCCCCUUGAAUGGUUG